Peromyscus maniculatus bairdii (prairie deer mouse) is the source of this 1305-nucleotide non-coding RNA. Lineage: Eukaryota; Metazoa; Chordata; Mammalia; Rodentia; Cricetidae. The record is from RefSeq and is a predicted model, not a curated record.
CUCAUGUAAAAUAUAUGACUUUGUGUAAGGAUCAGGCGAACGAGGUGCAUGAUUUUUUUCUGAUUUAUGGGCCUGGAGACGGAUUAUUCAUAGCAGAGCAGCUGUGUGGAAAGAUUCAUCCGCUGCAAAAUGUGAUUGUACAUCAGGCAGUGUGUGGGAACGGAGCUAUGACUAAUGGCUGCUUUACAUAUAAAUGAGAAGGUUUGUGCUAGGAACUGUAAAAAAAUACAAUCACUCAGCUGACGGGCAGGCUCCUUAUCGUGGAUGCAGGAGAGGGACCACCAGAAAGGCUGUGAAUCCUCCAUGGGCUGAGACUGUGUCUUCAUGUGUUCAGCAUGGUGGCCAUAGUAUGUUUGACAGUGCCACAGAAAACCGGAUAUGGGACUAGAGAGACAGCUCAGCAGCUAAAGGCUCGGAGCACACGUCGGGAAGCUGGCAGGAAGACCGUGAGAGCCGGAGGAUGGAAGGAGAGCUGUGAAUGCUGUGCUCUGGACGUGACACGGAAGUUGGACUCGUGAAGUCCCAGCAGCCGCAGAUGUCUGCACAAGACCUGUAUGAAAUCAAGCCAGUCAACGUUCCAACGUGAGUGGAAGCCGGGCUCACAACGCUCCACCUCUAGCUGAGCGGCUGUUAGCCAGAGAUGGCUUCUGCAGAAGGUGGGGGAAUUUCUCUCUAAGGAUGUGGUCACCGGUACGUUCUUCGUUUCCCAGUGGAUGCUCUCACACACAUUGGCAUAUGGGCAACACUAACUGGACUCAGUUACAAAAGCAAAACAAAAAACCAACCAAACCAAAAGACCUCAAAACCAACACAAAACAAAAACUCAAAACCCAGAACAAAACAAAACAGCCCAGGAAGUCUAGCAGGGCAGAGGUGGAAUUGCAGGGGGAGAACGGGGAUGGAUAUAAUGAAAAUACAGAGUGAGGUCUGGCAAGGUGGCUCAGAGGUUAAGAAGUUAAGAGUGGGGGCUGGAGAGAUGGCUCAGAGGUUAAGAACACUGGCUACUCUUCCAGAGGUCCUGAGUUCAAUUCCCAGCCUCCACAUGGAGGCUCCUCUGGUGGGCAGGCGUACAUCCAGGCAGAAUACUAUACAUAAUAAAAAGUGAAUAAAUCUUAAGAGGAGGAGGAGGAGGGGCAGUUGUUGCUCUUCCAGAGGAUUCAGAUUUGGUCCACAGUGUCCAUAGGACGAUUCAUAACCAUCCUUAGCUCCACUUCCAGGGGAUUCAAUGACCUCUUCUGACCUUCAUGGAUCAUGUAGGCAAAACAAUCACACACACGAAAUUUAAAAAAUUAAAUGAAAAAUACA